AACGAACGCUGGCGGCAUGCCUAACACAUGCAAGUCGAACGAGACCUUCGUUUCUAGUGGCGCACUGGUUCUUCACUCUUUUUAACCUGCCCUUAUUUUCGGAAUAACUCCCCUCAAUUUUUUCUCAUACCGUCUCAUUUCUUCUUACCAAAGAUUUCUCUCCUUUGGAUGGGACCUCUUUGGCUUCUCUCUUUGGUAGGGUAAAAGCCUACCCAGGCUCCGAUCCAUAGCUGGUCUGAGAGGAUGAUCAGCCACACUGGGACUGCGACACGGCCCAGACGCCUACGGGAGGCAGAAGUGGGGAAUAUGGGAAAAUGGGCGAAAGACUGAUCAAGAAAUGACGCGUGAGUGAUGAAGGCCUGAGGGUUGUAAAGAUCUUUUACCAGGGAUGAGAAUGACAGUACCGGGAGAAUAAGAUCCGGCUAACUCCGUG
Molecule: ribosomal RNA, 433 nt
Filed under: uncultured bacterium
Lineage: Bacteria
Description: partial 16S ribosomal RNA
Rfam family: Bacterial small subunit ribosomal RNA
Source: RNAcentral